AGAGCGAACGCUGGCGGCAGGCCUAAUACAUGCAAGUCGAACGGAUCCUUCGGGAUUAGUGGCGGACGGGUGAGUAACACGUGGGAACGUACCCUUUGGUUCGGAACAACUCAGGGAAACUUGAGCUAAUACCGAAUGUGCCCUUCGGGGAAAAGAUUUAUCGCCAUUGGAGCGGCCCGCGUCUGAUUAGCUAGUUGGUAGGGUAAAGGCCUACCAAGGCUACGAUCAGUAGCUGGUCUGAGAGGAUGAUCAGCCACACUGGGACUGAGACACGGCCCAGACUCCUACGGGAGGCAGCAGUAGGGAAUCUUGCGCAAUGGGCGAAAGCCUGACGCAGCCAUGCCGCGUGAAUGAUGAAGGUCUUAGGAUUGUAAAAUUCUUUCAGCGGGACGAUAAUGACGGUACCGCAGAAGAAGCCCGGCUAACUUCGUGCCAGCAGCCGC
This 443-nucleotide ribosomal RNA is filed under the name uncultured bacterium. Its description in RNAcentral is "SSU rRNA". It matches the Rfam family "Bacterial small subunit ribosomal RNA", at positions 26 to 518 of the family's 1533-position model. The record is from RNAcentral.